CCUACGGGGUGCAGCAGUGGGGAAUAUUGGGCAAUGGGCGCACGCCUGACCCAGCAACGCCGCGUGAAGGAAGACGGCUUUCGGGUUGUAAACUUCUUUUCUCAGGGACGAAGCUAGUGACGGUACUUGCGGAAUAAGCCACGGCUAACUACGUGCCAGCAGCCGCGGUAAUACGUAGGUUGCAAGCGUUAUCCGGAUUUCCUGGGUGUAAAGGGCGUGUAGGCGGGAAAGCAAGGCAGAUGGGAAAACCAUGGGCUCAAACUGUGGCCUGCAGUUGAAACUGUUUUUCUUGAGUACUGGAGAGGCAGACGGAAUGCCUAGUGGAGCGGUGAAAUGCAUAGAUAUUAGGAGGAACACCAGUGGCGAAGGCGGUCUGCUGGACAGCAACUGACGCUGAGGCGCGAAAGCGUGGGGAGCGAACAGGAUUAGAUACCCGGGUAGUC
This 443-nucleotide ribosomal RNA is filed under the name uncultured bacterium. Its description in RNAcentral is "partial 16S ribosomal RNA". It matches the Rfam family "Bacterial small subunit ribosomal RNA", at positions 338 to 795 of the family's 1533-position model. The record is from RNAcentral.